This 654-nucleotide long non-coding RNA is filed under the name Struthio camelus australis. RNAcentral's name for it is "lncRNA (ENSSCUG00000008554.1)". The record is from RNAcentral. Lineage: Eukaryota; Metazoa; Chordata; Aves; Struthioniformes; Struthionidae.
AUGUCCUCUGAAACAGAAUUUCUACUUGCGAAGGAUCAUCAGAAUAGACAGAUGAUUAGAGCAUUGAGACCCAGUGACACUCCAAAUAAGGAGCAGCCAAGAGGGAAACUUCUGCUUGUUUCUGUCACAUAUAGAAUAAGUUCUUGAGAGCAAGAGACAAAGCACCCAGGAUAUUCUGCUGUUGGACCUAGCUGUGGACUCAGAGAGAGACCAAGUGCGUAGAUGAACUGAAACAGCAAUGACUGGAGUGCCAAAAUAUCUCAGGAGAGUUGAGCGGAUACCUGUCAGUUAAGCUGAUGGUGGAAGUACCGCCCACCACAGAUGAACUGGAGGAGACAGAGAGGAAUGGCAGGAAGAACGAGAGGAGCGCUGGCCCGAGGCAGUGGCUGCCAGUGUGAGCCCUGAGGUCCAAACAGGUCAGGUUUUUCUGGGUCAUAUCUCCUACAGUGUAACGCCUGAGCGAGUGUCAGUGGGGAACAGGGUAUUAACAUUGCAACUUCUUUAAGACUUCUGGUAAGCUCAGUAUCUUUUCUGUCUUGAUAGGCCUGCCAAGAUUUGUGUGCAUUGCCUAGCAGUGUGCUUAACAGUCAGAUUUUCCUUCAUCUACUCUAGAUUUUUCCUAAUAAAAGGUGAUGAAACUUUUGUGGUGUGCCA